CCUACGGGCGGCAGCAGUGGGGAAUAUUGCACAAUGGGGGAAACCCUGAUGCAGCGACGCCGCGUGAGUGAAGAAGUAUUUCGGUAUGUAAAGCUCUAUCAGCAGGAACGAGACAAGACGGUACCUGACUAAGAAGCCCCGGCUAACUACGUGCCAGCAGCCGCGGUAAUACGUAGGGGGCAAGCGUUAUCCGGAAUCACUGGGGGAAAAGGGAGCGUAGACGGCUGUGCAAGCCUGAAGUGAAAGGCGGGGCCCAACCCCUGGACUGCUUUGGGAACUGUACGGCUGGAGUGCAGGAGAGGUAAGUGGAAUUCCUAGUGUAGCGGUGAAAUGCGUAGAUAUUAGGAGGAACACCAGUGGCGAAGGCGGCUUACUGGACUGUAACUGACGUUGAGGCUCGAAAGCGUGGGGAGCAAACAGGAUUAGAUACCCGUGUAGUC
RNAcentral lists this ribosomal RNA (440 nucleotides) under uncultured bacterium. Its description in RNAcentral is "partial 16S ribosomal RNA". It matches the Rfam family "Bacterial small subunit ribosomal RNA", at positions 338 to 795 of the family's 1533-position model. The record is from RNAcentral.